CAAUAGCGUAUAUUAAAGUUGUUGCAGUUAAAAGCUCGUAGUCGGAUUUCGGGUCGGGCCGAGCGGUCUGCCGAUGGGUAUGCACUGGCUGGUCUCAACUUCCUGUAGAGGACGCGCUCUGGGUUAACGCUCGGACGCGGAGUCUACGUGGUUACUUUGAAAAAUUAGAGUGUUCAAAGCGGGCUUACGCUUGAAUAUUUCAGCAUGGAAUAACACUAUAGGACUCCUGUCCUAUUUCGUUGGUCUCGGGACGGGAGUAAUGAUUAAGAGGAACAGUUGGGGGCGAUUCGUAUUUCAUUGUCAGAGGUGAAAUUCUCAGACCAAUGGAAGACGAACCACUGCGAAAGCAUUUGCCAGGGAUGUUUUCACUGAUCAAGAACGAAAGUUAGGGGAUCGAAGACGAUCAGAU
RNAcentral lists this ribosomal RNA (409 nucleotides) under uncultured eukaryote. RNAcentral's name for it is "bacterial SSU rRNA". It matches the Rfam family "Eukaryotic small subunit ribosomal RNA", at positions 592 to 1013 of the family's 1831-position model. The record is from RNAcentral.